Molecule: ribosomal RNA, 414 nt
Filed under: uncultured microorganism
Description: partial 16S ribosomal RNA
Rfam family: Archaeal small subunit ribosomal RNA
Source: RNAcentral
CAGCCGCCGCGGUAAUACCGGCGGCCCGAGUGGUGGCCGCUAUUAUUGGGCCUAAAGCGUCCGUAGCCGGGCCCGUAAGUCCCUGGCGAAAUCCCACGGCUCAACCGUGGGGCUUGCUGGGGAUACUGCGGGCCUUGGGACCGGGAGAGGCGGGGGGGACCCCUGGGGUGGGGGGGGAAUCCUAUAAUCCCAGGGGGGCCGCCAGUGGCGAAGGCGCCCCGCUGGAACGGGUCCGACGGUGAGGGACGAAGGCCAGGGGAGCAAACCGGAUUAGAUACCCGGGUAGUCCUGGCUGUAAAGGAUGCGGGCUAGGUGUCGGGUGAGCUUCGAGCUCGCCCGGUGCCGUAGGGAAGCCGUUAAGCCCGCCGCCUGGGGAGUACGGCCGCAAGGCUGAAACUUAAAGGAAUUGGCGGG